Molecule: ribosomal RNA, 468 nt
Filed under: uncultured bacterium
Lineage: Bacteria
Description: partial 16S ribosomal RNA
Rfam family: Bacterial small subunit ribosomal RNA
Source: RNAcentral
GACGAACGCUGGCGGCGUGCUUAACACAUGCAAGUCGAACGGAAAGGCCCUGCUUUUGUGGGGUGCUCGAGUGGCGAACGGGUGAGUAACACGUGAGUAACCUGCCCUUGACUUUGGGAUAACUUCAGGAAACUGGGGCUAAUACCGGAUAGGAGCUCCUGCUGCAUGGUGGGGGUUGGAAAGUUUCGGCGGUUGGGGAUGGACUCGCGGGUUAUCAGCUUGUUGGUGGGGUAGUGGCUUACCAAGGCUUGGACGGGUAGCCGGCCUGAGAGGGUGACCGGCCACAUUGGGACCGAGAUACGGCCCAGACUCCUACGGGAGGCAGCAGUGGGGAAUAUUGCACAAUGGGCGGAAGCCUGAUGCAGCAACGCCGCGUGCGGGAUGACGGCCUUCGGGUUGUAAACCGCUUUCGCCUGUGACGAAGCGUGAGUGACGGUAAUGGGUAAAGAAGCACCGGCUAACUACGUG